GAUGAACGCUAGCGGGAGGCUUAACACAUGCAAGUCGAGGGGCAUCACGAGGUAGCAAUACUUUGGUGGCGACCGGCGCACGGGUGAGUAACGCGUAUGCAACCUACCCUGUACAGGGGGAUAGCCCGGAGAAAUUAGGAUUAAUACCCCAUAAUGAUAUUUUAUGGCAUCAUAAAAUAUUUAAAGCUCAGGCGGUAAGGGAUGGGCAUGCGUAACAUUAGCUAGUUGGUAGGGUAAUGGGCUACACAGGCGACGAUGUUUAGGGGUCCUGAGAGGGUGAUCCCCCACACUGGUACUGAGACACGGACCAGACUCCUACGGGAGGCAGCAGUGAGGAAUAUUGGUCAAUGGGCGCGAGCCUGAACCAGCCAUCCCGCGUGGAGGAAGACUGCCCUAUGGGUUGUAAACUUCUUUUCCAGGGGAAUAAAAUCUCGAACGAGUUCGGGACUGAAGGUACCCUGGGAAUAAGCAUCGGCUAACUCCGUGCCAGCCGCCGCAGUAA
This 502-nucleotide ribosomal RNA is filed under the name uncultured bacterium. Its description in RNAcentral is "partial 16S ribosomal RNA". It matches the Rfam family "Bacterial small subunit ribosomal RNA", at positions 28 to 523 of the family's 1533-position model. The record is from RNAcentral.